GGACAGAAGACCAUUUGCAGAUGCUGGAGAAACCAGUGCGAAUGAUCUGAUCACUAUUCUUUUUUCAGGUGCUGUAGUUCAUGAAAGCUUGGGAGUGAAGAAAUACUGCACUGGUGUUCCUGUAUGAGGCAGCACAUGAGCAACUACUGAUAAUCCAUGAGAGCCUGGAUCUAUGCAAAUUAGCAGCUCACCUUUGCAGCACAUGAAGGCCAGCACUGGUUGAUGGACACUUCAUUUGGACACUGUUUCAUGUUCUGAAACAGUGAACUAUCCAAAUGACACCGCCUCAAAUUCUCAAUAUUCUGUCAACAGAACAAUACAACACUAUCAGUCAUUCUCACUUGUGCAGAUCCGGCAGAGUAAAUUGAUCCAUUUUAAAAUGGCACAAGCUGCAGUCUGCAACAAAAUGAGCACAAAGACUUUCACUUCACCUAAAGAGCCAGGUUGUUGCUGUGAGAUCAUCGACAUGCACUCUGUUAGUGAGGCUGUGCAGACCAGAAGAAAUCACUGAGAACAGAGAAUCCCUGAAGGCUAUCAUCUCAAGAAGCACAGGACUAGGGUUGCCAACCCACACCACAGCUGCAUCAAGCACAUGCUGAAGAGCGUGGCUCAUACACUUUACGGGAAUUGUGAUAGAUUCCUUGCCCUUGGACUUCUGCAGGGCUGUUUUGUACUGCCAGCAUGAAGACUGUAAUAAUGAAUUGUUAUUCUUUCUCUUUAUUUCCAUUGGUUACGAAGGCAUGCAGCCACCUUCACACAAAGCAGGCAAACGUGUAUGGGCACGUGCACACAUUUCACAUUUGGUAGUUUCAGCAGAAAUAGUUUUG
Long non-coding RNA from Gallus gallus (chicken), 827 nucleotides. The record is from Ensembl. Lineage: Eukaryota; Metazoa; Chordata; Aves; Galliformes; Phasianidae.